CUGCGGAGCUGAACCCAACUCUGGCCGCCGUGACGUCACGCGCGCCCGGCAACCAAUGAGGGCAGCGCUGGCGUGGAUAUUAAGGAAAGUUAGCGCCUGCCGGAGCACCCUCUUUUCUUAUCGUUGACAUUUAAACUCUGGGGCAGGUCCUCGCGUAGAACCCGGCUGUCAGAUCUGCUACUUCCCCCCGAGAAGCGACUGUGAGAAGUGUGGGAACCAGCGCCACCAGGCUCACCUGCCACCCCGCCCUCGGCUCGCAGGGAUCUGAGAAUUGCUCUCACACACCAACCCAGCAGCGUCUGUGGAGAAAACUCUCACGAGCAACUCUUUUAAAAUACCGUCAUUUCAAACCGUUGUGGUCUUUAAGCAACAACAGGGGGGAAAAAAAACCCAAAACAA
RNAcentral lists this long non-coding RNA (399 nucleotides) under Rattus norvegicus (Norway rat). Its description in RNAcentral is "long non-coding RNA NONRATT018422". Lineage: Eukaryota; Metazoa; Chordata; Mammalia; Rodentia; Muridae. The record is from RNAcentral.